Molecule: transfer RNA, 64 nt
Filed under: Henriciella algicola
Lineage: Bacteria; Pseudomonadati; Pseudomonadota; Alphaproteobacteria; Hyphomonadales; Hyphomonadaceae
Also listed under: 2 other names
Rfam family: tRNA
About the family: Transfer RNA (tRNA) molecules are approximately 80 nucleotides in length. Their secondary structure includes four short double-helical elements and three loops (D, anti-codon, and T loops).
Source: RNAcentral
CCAUAGCUCAGUCGGUAGAGCAACUGACUUUUAAUCAGUAGGUCACAGGUUCGAAUCCUGUUGG